Molecule: long non-coding RNA, 889 nt
Filed under: Zea mays
Lineage: Eukaryota; Viridiplantae; Streptophyta; Magnoliopsida; Poales; Poaceae
Description: long non-coding RNA (ZMAY_LNC001340)
Source: RNAcentral
ACAAGAACAAAAAUAUGGUUCAGAAACAUGCAGUUUUUCUCGAAAACAAAUAACAUGACUUACUCAACCACUAACAAAAAUUAACUUCGUUCACUCCUCACUUGCUUGACGACGAGUUUCCAAUAACCCUUGCCAAUAUCUCCUGUUGCUUAGCCUCGUAGCAUUGUCGAAGUAGGGGGUUACAUUUACUCAGAUCCAUGCCCAAUAUCAUGACCUCCUCUUCCUUGUCCUCCUUCAAUUUCUGCCGAUCCAUCCUAAGUUUCUCCAGGUUUAGCUUCUUCCUCUCCAAGAUGAGUUUUUGCCUCUCGUUUUUGUUCAUAGACUCCAACUUCCUCUCCUCAAUUGAAGCUACUAAUUUGAACACAGACAACCGUUCCAAAGAUAUUUCACCCAUCCACCUGAGGUACUCAGAAAAAGUGGACGAUGUGUCAACAGACCUUUGCUUCUUUGCCUUUUCCUUGGACGAAUCAUGACCUAGCGGCCUCUUCGAAGUAAAGCUUGAUGGAACAGAGUCUUCAGCAUCUAAGUCUACAGUAUUUGAUUGGAUACCGAUUGGGUUGGGUGGUGGAUUUUGGUGACUCAUGUGUUGAUCCAUCCAUUUUGGUUGAUCCUUCAAUAUUGCCCAACAAUGUAAGAAAUGGAAGGGCUUAUUUUCAACAGCAGCUUACUACAGAUAUAACCCCUAUAUGUAAAAUAUCUCAACUAACAAAAUGACAACUUACUGCAGAAGGGUCACUCUCACAGAAGGCCUCAAGGCAAAUGUUGCAUGCAUCCUGAAUGCCACCCUCCACAAAGGCUGCAGCAGAUGUCAAACUCUCCAUCUUAGCUUUCUCAUCAGUUUCAGAUGCCAUUGCAAUGGAAUCACAGCCCUGAAACCAAACAGGCAAAA